This 437-nucleotide ribosomal RNA is filed under the name uncultured Oscillospiraceae bacterium. RNAcentral's name for it is "partial 16S ribosomal RNA". It matches the Rfam family "Bacterial small subunit ribosomal RNA", at positions 341 to 792 of the family's 1533-position model. The record is from RNAcentral. Lineage: Bacteria; Bacillati; Bacillota; Clostridia; Eubacteriales; Oscillospiraceae.
ACGGGAGGCAGCAGUGAGGAAUAUUGCGCAAUGGAGGAAACUCUGACGCAGCGAUGCCGCGUGAGGGAAGAAGGUCUUUGGAUUGUAAACUUCUGUUCUUAGGGAAGAAAAAGAUGACGGUAUCUAAGAAGAAAGCUCCGGCUGACUACGUGCCAGCAGCCGCGGUAAUACGUAGGGAGCAAGCGUUGUCCGGAAUUAUUGGGUGUAAAGGGUGCGUAGGUGGCUUUGCAAGUCAACCGUGAAAUCUGGGGGCUUAACUCUCGGCUUGCGGUUGAAACUGUUUGGCUUGAGUUAUGUAAGGGCAAGUGGAAUUUCCAGUGUAGCGGUGAAAUGCGUAGAUAUUGGAAGGAACACCGGUGGCGAAAGCGGCUUGCUGGGCUUAUACUGACACUGAUGCACGAAAGCGUGGGUAGCAAACAGGAUUAGAUACCCUGGUA